UAGGGAAUCUUCCACAAUGGGCGCAAGCCUGAUGGAGCAACACCGCGUGAGUGAAGAAGGGUUUCGGCUCGUAAAGCUCUGUUGUUAAAGAAGAACACGUAUGAGAGUAACUGUUCAUACGUUGACGGUAUUUAACCAGAAAGGAACGGCUAAAUACGUGCCAG
This 164-nucleotide ribosomal RNA is filed under the name uncultured bacterium. RNAcentral describes it as "partial 16S rRNA". It matches the Rfam family "Bacterial small subunit ribosomal RNA", at positions 355 to 511 of the family's 1533-position model. The record is from RNAcentral.